GGGGAUAAAUUAAAAAAAAAGUAAUAAUAAAAAAAUUUUUAAUUUAAUUAUAUUAAUAUUUAAUGGGGGUUAAAGUAUUUAUAUAGAAAAAAUUGAAAUUUUUAUAGGGGAAUAGUAUUGUGAAAGAAUUUUGAAAUAAAUGAAAAAAAAAUUAUUAAAAAGUAAUUUUCAUUUAAUGUAUCUUGUGUAUCAGAGUUUAUUAAAUAAAAUUUUUAGGGGGAAAAUCUCGAAUUUAAGAGAGAUAAUUAAUUAUAAAAGUUAUUGUGGUAAAAAUAUUUUUAAUAGUUAAUUUGAAAUGAAAUGUUAAUCGUUCUUAAAGAUAUCUAGUUUUUUUAGAAAAAAAUUUAAUUUUAAAUUUAUAAUAUUAAAAUAUUUAAUUAAUUAAUUAAUUAAAUAUUAAAUAAAUUUUAUAUUUUAAGGGAUAAGCUUUAAAUUAAAUUAAUAUAAUUUUUAAUUAAAUUUUGAAAAUAAUAUAAUUUAUAUUGUUAAUAAAUUUUAAUUUAUUAUAAAUAAUUUCAAAUAAAAAUAAAAUUUAAUUUUAAUUUAUUUUUAUAUAAAAAAAUAAUUUUUAAUAAUAAUAAAAUUAGUUAUAAUGAUAAAAUUAGUAUAUAAUUAGUUAAUUAAAAUUUAAUUUAAGUAAAUUAUUUAAAAGGAAUUCGGCAAAAUUUUAUACUCACUUGUUUAUCAAAAACAUGUCUUUUUGUAAAUAAUUUAAAGUCUAAUCUGCCCACUGAUUAAUAUUAAAGGGCUGCAGUAUAUUGACUGUACAAAGGUAGCAUAAUCAUUAGUCAUUUAAUUGGUGACUUGUAUGAAAGAUUGGAUGAAGUAUAAACUGUCUUUUAGGUAAAUUAUAGAAUUUAAUUUUUGAAUUAAAAAGUUUAAAUAAAUUAAAAAGACGAGAAGACCCUAUAGAGUUUUAUAAUUAGUUAAUUUAUAAUUAUUUAUAAAUUUAAGGUUUUUAAUUUAGUUAAUUAUUUUAUUGGGGUGAUAGAAAAAUAAAAUUAACUUUUUAUAUUGGUAAACAUAAAUAAGUGAUUAUAUGAUCCAAUUUUAUUGAUUAAAAGAAAAAAUUACCUUAGGGAUAACAGCGUAAUUUAUUUUUUUAGUUCAUAUAAAAAAAUGAGUUUGCGACCUCGAUGUUGGAUUAAGAUAAAAGUUAAAUGUAGAAGUUUAAGUUUUUGAUCUGUUCGAUCAUUAAAAUCUUACAUGAUCUGAGUUCAGACCGGUGUAAGCCAGGUUGGUUUCUAUCUUUUAUAAAAUAAAAUAUUUUAGUACGAAAGGAUUGAAUAUUUAAAUUAAAUUUAUUAUUUUGAAUUUUAUUAAAUUAUAUAUAUAUAUAUAUAUAUAUUUAUAAAUA
This 1357-nucleotide ribosomal RNA is filed under the name Aglaomorpha histrio. Its description in RNAcentral is "16S ribosomal RNA". The record is from RNAcentral. Lineage: Eukaryota; Metazoa; Arthropoda; Insecta; Lepidoptera; Erebidae.